Colletes gigas is the source of this 149-nucleotide long non-coding RNA. RefSeq lists it as uncharacterized. The transcript is spliced from 3 exons. The record is from RefSeq and is a predicted model, not a curated record. NCBI's taxonomy places the organism in Eukaryota, Metazoa, Arthropoda, Insecta, Hymenoptera, Colletidae.
UCCCGCGUGCGGCCCGUUGGAAACUCUCCUCGGCCCUUUUAACUUACGGUGAUGUAUCAGGGCUCCUCCUUUAUUUUCGUCGUUUGCUCGUUACGCCUGCGGACAUUCACAAAGAUCUAACCACACUCGUCCAAACGAGCAGUCGUCAA